Molecule: ribosomal RNA, 2864 nt
Filed under: Escherichia coli 3-267-03_S1_C3
Lineage: Bacteria; Pseudomonadati; Pseudomonadota; Gammaproteobacteria; Enterobacterales; Enterobacteriaceae
Description: bacterial LSU rRNA
Rfam family: Bacterial large subunit ribosomal RNA
Source: RNAcentral
CAGAGGCGAUGAAGGACGUGCUAAUCUGCGAUAAGCGUCGGUAAGGUGAUAUGAACCGUUAUAACCGGCGAUUUCCGAAUGGGGAAACCCAGUGUGUUUCGACACACUAUCAUUAACUGAAUCCAUAGGUUAAUGAGGCGAACCGGGGGAACUGAAACAUCUAAGUACCCCGAGGAAAAGAAAUCAACCGAGAUUCCCCCAGUAGCGGCGAGCGAACGGGGAGCAGCCCAGAGCCUGAAUCAGUAUGUGUGUUAGUGGAAGCGUCUGGAAAGGCGCGCGAUACAGGGUGACAGCCCCGUACACAAAAAUGCACAUGCUGUGAGCUCGAUGAGUAGGGCGGGACACGUGGUAUCCUGUCUGAAUAUGGGGGGACCAUCCUCCAAGGCUAAAUACUCCUGACUGACCGAUAGUGAACCAGUACCGUGAGGGAAAGGCGAAAAGAACCCCGGCGAGGGGAGUGAAAAAGAACCUGAAACCGUGUACGUACAAGCAGUGGGAGCACGCUUAGGCGUGUGACUGCGUACCUUUUGUAUAAUGGGUCAGCGACUUAUAUUCUGUAGCAAGGUUAACCGAAUAGGGGAGCCGAAGGGAAACCGAGUCUUAACUGGGCGUUAAGUUGCAGGGUAUAGACCCGAAACCCGGUGAUCUAGCCAUGGGCAGGUUGAAGGUUGGGUAACACUAACUGGAGGACCGAACCGACUAAUGUUGAAAAAUUAGCGGAUGACUUGUGGCUGGGGGUGAAAGGCCAAUCAAACCGGGAGAUAGCUGGUUCUCCCCGAAAGCUAUUUAGGUAGCGCCUCGUGAAUUCAUCUCCGGGGGUAGAGCACUGUUUCGGCAAGGGGGUCAUCCCGACUUACCAACCCGAUGCAAACUGCGAAUACCGGAGAAUGUUAUCACGGGAGACACACGGCGGGUGCUAACGUCCGUCGUGAAGAGGGAAACAACCCAGACCGCCAGCUAAGGUCCCAAAGUCAUGGUUAAGUGGGAAACGAUGUGGGAAGGCCCAGACAGCCAGGAUGUUGGCUUAGAAGCAGCCAUCAUUUAAAGAAAGCGUAAUAGCUCACUGGUCGAGUCGGCCUGCGCGGAAGAUGUAACGGGGCUAAACCAUGCACCGAAGCUGCGGCAGCGACGCUUAUGCGUUGUUGGGUAGGGGAGCGUUCUGUAAGCCUGCGAAGGUGUGCUGUGAGGCAUGCUGGAGGUAUCAGAAGUGCGAAUGCUGACAUAAGUAACGAUAAAGCGGGUGAAAAGCCCGCUCGCCGGAAGACCAAGGGUUCCUGUCCAACGUUAAUCGGGGCAGGGUGAGUCGACCCCUAAGACGAGGCCGAAAGGCGUAGUCGAUGGGAAACAGGUUAAUAUUCCUGUACUUGGUGUUACUGCGAAGGGGGGACGGAGAAGGCUAUGUUGGCCGGGCGACGGUUGUCCCGGUUUAAGCGUGUAGGCUGGUUUUCCAGGCAAAUCCGGAAAAUCAAGGCUGAGGCGUGAUGACGAGGCACUACGGUGCUGAAGCAACAAAUGCCCUGCUUCCAGGAAAAGCCUCUAAGCAUCAGGUAACAUCAAAUCGUACCCCAAACCGACACAGGUGGUCAGGUAGAGAAUACCAAGGCGCUUGAGAGAACUCGGGUGAAGGAACUAGGCAAAAUGGUGCCGUAACUUCGGGAGAAGGCACGCUGAUAUGUAGGUGAAGUCCCUCGCGGAUGGAGCUGAAAUCAGUCGAAGAUACCAGCUGGCUGCAACUGUUUAUUAAAAACACAGCACUGUGCAAACACGAAAGUGGACGUAUACGGUGUGACGCCUGCCCGGUGCCGGAAGGUUAAUUGAUGGGGUCAGCGCAAGCGAAGCUCUUGAUCGAAGCCCCGGUAAACGGCGGCCGUAACUAUAACGGUCCUAAGGUAGCGAAAUUCCUUGUCGGGUAAGUUCCGACCUGCACGAAUGGCGUAAUGAUGGCCAGGCUGUCUCCACCCGAGACUCAGUGAAAUUGAACUCGCUGUGAAGAUGCAGUGUACCCGCGGCAAGACGGAAAGACCCCGUGAACCUUUACUAUAGCUUGACACUGAACAUUGAGCCUUGAUGUGUAGGAUAGGUGGGAGGCUUUGAAGUGUGGACGCCAGUCUGCAUGGAGCCGACCUUGAAAUACCACCCUUUAAUGUUUGAUGUUCUAACGUUGACCCGUAAUCCGGGUUGCGGACAGUGUCUGGUGGGUAGUUUGACUGGGGCGGUCUCCUCCUAAAGAGUAACGGAGGAGCACGAAGGUUGGCUAAUCCUGGUCGGACAUCAGGAGGUUAGUGCAAUGGCAUAAGCCAGCUUGACUGCGAGCGUGACGGCGCGAGCAGGUGCGAAAGCAGGUCAUAGUGAUCCGGUGGUUCUGAAUGGAAGGGCCAUCGCUCAACGGAUAAAAGGUACUCCGGGGAUAACAGGCUGAUACCGCCCAAGAGUUCAUAUCGACGGCGGUGUUUGGCACCUCGAUGUCGGCUCAUCACAUCCUGGGGCUGAAGUAGGUCCCAAGGGUAUGGCUGUUCGCCAUUUAAAGUGGUACGCGAGCUGGGUUUAGAACGUCGUGAGACAGUUCGGUCCCUAUCUGCCGUGGGCGCUGGAGAACUGAGGGGGGCUGCUCCUAGUACGAGAGGACCGGAGUGGACGCAUCACUGGUGUUCGGGUUGUCAUGCCAAUGGCACUGCCCGGUAGCUAAAUGCGGAAGAGAUAAGUGCUGAAAGCAUCUAAGCACGAAACUUGCCCCGAGAUGAGUUCUCCCUGACUCCUUGAGAGUCCUGAAGGAACGUUGAAGACGACGACGUUGAUAGGCCGGGUGUGUAAGCGCAGCGAUGCGUUGAGCUAACCGGUACUAAUGAACCGUGAGGCUUAACCUU